RNAcentral lists this ribosomal RNA (427 nucleotides) under Aeromonas salmonicida. Its description in RNAcentral is "bacterial SSU rRNA". It matches the Rfam family "Bacterial small subunit ribosomal RNA", at positions 79 to 502 of the family's 1533-position model. Lineage: Bacteria; Pseudomonadati; Pseudomonadota; Gammaproteobacteria; Aeromonadales; Aeromonadaceae. The record is from RNAcentral.
CUACUUUUGCCGGCGAGCGGCGGACGGGUGAGUAAUGCCUGGGGAUCUGCCCAGUCGAGGGGGAUAACAGUUGGAAACGACUGCUAAUACCGCAUACGCCCUACGGGGGAAAGGAGGGGACCUUCGGGCCUUUCGCGAUUGGAUGAACCCAGGUGGGAUUAGCUAGUUGGUGGGGUAAUGGCUCACCAAGGCGACGAUCCCUAGCUGGUCUGAGAGGAUGAUCAGCCACACUGGAACUGAGACACGGUCCAGACUCCUACGGGAGGCAGCAGUGGGGAAUAUUGCACAAUGGGGGAAACCCUGAUGCAGCCAUGCCGCGUGUGUGAAGAAGGCCUUCGGGUUGUAAAGCACUUUCAGCGAGGAGGAAAGGUUGGCGCCUAAUACGUGUCAACUGUGACGUUACUCGCAGAAGAAGCACCGGCUAACU